Molecule: small RNA, 149 nt
Filed under: Chrysemys picta bellii (western painted turtle)
Lineage: Eukaryota; Metazoa; Chordata; Testudines; Emydidae
Description: TUC338 (ENSCPBG00000024283.1)
Source: RNAcentral
UGAACCAGCCCCACUCAGCUCACCCAAAACAGGUAGAGCAUGGGCAGCAGCAAUAUAAGCUUCCUCAUGGUGCCCUGCCAAUGUACCUCAGUCCAGAAACGUCACCUCUAGGGGUAAACGGGUGGUUACUGCAUUCUCCCUGUUCUUUC